CACGUAGGGGGCAAGCGUUGUCCGGAAUCAUUGGGCGUAAGGAGCUCGUAGGCGGCUCAGUAAGUCGGGUGUGAAACCUCCAGGCUCAACCUGGAGACGCCACCCGAUACUGCUGUGGCUAGAGUCCAGUAGGGGAGUGUGGAAUUCCCGGUGUAGCGGUGAAAUGCGCAGAUAUCGGGAGGAACACCAGCGGCGAAGGCGGCACUCUGGGCUGGUACUGACGCUGAGGAGCGAAAGCGUGGGUAGCAAACAGG
This 254-nucleotide ribosomal RNA is filed under the name uncultured bacterium. RNAcentral describes it as "partial 16S ribosomal RNA". It matches the Rfam family "Bacterial small subunit ribosomal RNA", at positions 524 to 776 of the family's 1533-position model. The record is from RNAcentral.